GAGGCUUCGUCGGCCAAAUCCUUCUCGCCCAAGUUCAUUCGUCGAUUGCUGGUUCCUUUGGCUUCUGGUUCGGUCGUCCCCCGCCGGGCUUCUGCUUCGAUCGUGCCCGUCGAUGGCGGCGGAAGGAAGUACCAGGGAAGGACCGAAGGAGUUAAUGAGUUUACCUGUUGUUUUCUCUAACUACAGGGACUGUACAAUGCUGUGAUUGUAAUGCCUGGAAUUGUAACUGACCAGAGUAGUUUUGAUGAGAGGAACAGAAAAAAGUGCGCUGCCAAAGCAACAUCUCUUGAGCGAAAAAUGUCAGAGUUUGUUAUAGAUCCAUUCAUUCAGGCUUUCCACCAUAAGCAUCUGAGGAGCAACAGAUUCAAACAGGCAAAUCCGCCAUAAGUCAAUUUUUCGGUGCUAAGCCCAAAUCAGGCAAAUCCUCCGUACUUCAAGUUCACUGCUUUUCUUUCUAUUUUAUUACUUUUCCUUAUCUGAAUUCACACACAUUUCUACACUAUAUUAGCUAGCGUCUUGGAAGACACAUUUGUGGCAGUAGUUGUAUGUUGGUGCUUUUAUAGCUGCUAGUAUGGCUUAACGACAACAGUUUGUGGAGUGUAGUAAAGAAAUCUGAAAUAGUGGGCUCGUUUGUUUGACAUGCCUCAUGCCUGACCCUUUUUGGAUUGAAUAUGAGGAAUCAAUAGCACAGUCUUUUGUAAACUAGGUACUGCUAGUACUAAAUGGCAUGCCAGUAUUUUUUACCUAAUGCCUGCCUUCUAUAUCCAUUCAUGCCUCCAUGGUCCUUGAAAAGAGUCACACGUUCAUAGUUUCUUAGGAGAAAAGAGUCACGCCUAAUACCCACAUUCUAUUUGCAUGCAUCCCUCCAUGUUUUAUAUGUUCCUUCCAGUUUACGCCAAAUGCUUGGUCGGUCGCAUUUUUGAUGGUUUUAAUGGAAAAACAUUAGUUGAUACUACUGAAGUUUUAGAUGUCCGUUUUGUUAAUGUUGAAACAUUCAGAACAUUCUCAUGAAGUAGCCUCCCUUUAAUAGUCCAUCUAAGCAUUAUGUAUUCUUCUGGUAUGUUUGACAACAACAAAUUUGGUUAUGGGUUUUAUAGAUUAUGGGUUUUUCCCGGAUGCUUAUUUUUUACUGGUUCUAACUGCCACUAGCCUGAUAUAAUGAACUCAUAUUUUCUUGUCUCCUCUCAGUACUGUUUUCCUGGUUGUUCAUGCCAAGAAUCUGUUCACCUUCAUGCUAAAAUCCGUUCCAAGAAUCCGUUCACGGUGGGUAACCGUUCAUGGAAGGAAAUUGUUCAUGGCAAGAAUCCACUAAUGACAAGAAUCCGUUCAUGGUAGGAAAUCGUUCAUGUUAAAAAUCCGUUCAUGCUAAAAUCCGUGCAUGGCAAGAUUGUGUUCAUGGCAAGAAUCCGCUCAUGCCAAGAAUAGGUUCGUGGUAGGAAACUGUUGAUGUCAAAGUUAUGUUCCUGCUAAAAAUCCGUCCAUGCCAAGAGUCUGUUCAUGGUAAGAAUCCGUUCUUGGCAAGAAUCUGUUCGUGGCAUGAAUCCGUUCAUGGUAGGAAACCGUUCGAACAUAAAUCCGUUCAUGUUGAAUUCAUUCAUGAUUUUAUUAUGUUCAAGGUUAGCGAAAUGACAUGUUAAGAUUCCGUUCAUCCUUUUUUAUGUUCAAAGAAGGAAAACAAUCACGAUAAGAAUCCGUUCAUGAUUUUUUUUAUGUUCAAGGCAUUAAAGUGUUCAUGUCAAAAAUCUGUUUACUGCUAAAAAUCUAUUAAUCAGGAAACCGUUCAUGUUAAAAAUCUGUUCAUGCCAAAAAUCCGUUCACGUUAGGUAAUCUUUCAUGGCAGGAAAUCGUUCAUGGCAAGAAUCUGCUUAUGCCAAGAGUCUGUUCAUGGUAGGAAACCGUUCAUGUCAAAAUCAGUUCGUGCUAAAAAUCCGUUCAUGCCAAGAAUCCGUUCAUGGUAGGAAAUCGUUCAUGUAAGAACCAGCUCAUGCCAAGAGUCCGUUCAUGGUAGGAAACCUUUACUAUCAAAAAUCCGUUAAUGCCAAGAAUCAAUUCAUGCUAGAAAUUCGUUCAUGACACGAAUCCGUUCAUGGCAGGAAACCGUUCAAACAUAAAUACGUUCAUGCCAAUAAUUCAUUCAUGCUUUUAUUAUGUUCAAGGUCAGCGAAAGGACAUGUUAAGAUUCCGUUCAUCCUUUUUUAUGUUCAAAGAAGGAAAAUAUUAAGAAUUCGUUCAAGCUUUUAUUUAAUGUUUAAGGCAUGUUCAUUGAUAAGUCUUUUGAUGUACUCAAUCCUGACUACUCAAUUGAAAAAUUCUCGUUGUUUGAAGUUUUGAAUUCAGUGUAAAAUAUGUGCAUGUGCCUAAACCCAAUUUCAGGUCAUUCUUAUACAUUAUCUACCUUCCUAGUCUGUGUCUUAUUAUAUUUUAUGCUUACUAGGGAAUUAUUUCUUUCCAAUGACUGCAGAUAUGGUUCUGAGAUAUUUGUCAUUCAGUUCAUUAGAUAUGUUCAUGUGCGUAAACACAAUUUCAAGUCAUUCUUAUACAUUAUCUACCUUCCUUGUAUGUGUCUUAUUAUAUUUUUAUGCUUACUAGUGAAUUAUUUAUUUUCCAAUGACUGCAGAUAUCAUUUGAGAUAUAUUCUCCAAUGUUAGCUUUUUAUUCUUUUAAUUCGGAUGAAUAAAAAGAAUAAAAAGCUAACAUUUUUUUGGAUGAGUUUUUGGGUGUUGCAGGCGGUGCUGACUCGAUAGGAUGUGCUCAGUUAUUUUUCUGAGGGAUAAGAAUCCGAUCAUGGCUGACUUUCAAGCCAUCCGUGAAAUAAUCACAACUCAGAUUGUGAUAAACAAGUUUAAUGAGCAUCAAAUUCCUAUAGCAAGACAAUUCAUUGCUAAACAUGCUCCUUCAUUGACAGAAGUUUACAUCUCCUAUCUUGCAUGAAGAUAUUUAGCAAAUGAAACAAAAGGAGCACCUGAUAAAGCUAUACACUCCUGGAAGGAAAGAAAUGUGGAAGAAGCAAUACAAACUUGAGUUUCAUUUUGAGUUUCAAAGCAGUUGUAUUGGAGCAAAAUCAAAUUAUGACCUAUUUAUUUCUGUUUUCAUAAUCUGUUUUUAUAACA
Lolium rigidum is the source of this 3110-nucleotide long non-coding RNA. RefSeq lists it as uncharacterized. NCBI's taxonomy places the organism in Eukaryota, Viridiplantae, Streptophyta, Magnoliopsida, Poales, Poaceae. The record is from RefSeq and is a predicted model, not a curated record. The transcript has 6 exons.